GACGAACGCUGGCGGCGUGCUUAACACAUGCAAGUCGAACGGAAAGGCCCUGCUUUUGUGGUGUGCUCGAGUGGCGAACGGGUGAGUAACACGUGAGUAACCUGCCCUUGACUUUGGGAUAACUUCAGGAAACUGGGGCUAAUACCGGAUAGGAGCUCCUGCUGCAUGGUGGGGGUUGGAAAGUUUCGGCGGUUGGGGAUGGACUCGCGGCUUAUCAGCUUGUUGGUUGGGUAGUGGCUUACCAAGGCUUUGAAGGGUAGCCGGCCUGAGAGGGUGACCGGCCACAAUGGGACUGAGAUACGGCCCAGACUGCUACGGGAGGCAGCAGUGGGGAAUAUUGCACAAUGGGCGGAAGCCUGAUGCAGCAACGCCGCGUGCGGGAUGACGGCCUUCGGGUUGUAAACCGCUUUCGCCUGUGACGAAGCGUGAGUGACGGUAAUGGGUAAAGAAGCACCGGCUAACUACGUG
This 468-nucleotide ribosomal RNA is filed under the name uncultured bacterium. Its description in RNAcentral is "partial 16S ribosomal RNA". It matches the Rfam family "Bacterial small subunit ribosomal RNA", at positions 28 to 507 of the family's 1533-position model. The record is from RNAcentral.